UUCAGGAAUGCUCCAACCCCCACAGCCCCCAGACCAACAAAGAUUAGUAAAUAGGUUUUGAUCUCUCCAGAGCAAGGAAAGCAUCUUCUGAUCAUACCUGUUUUUAAACUACAGAGAUUGUGGGGUGGAGAAGGGGUGGGGGAAACGGGAUUUAGUUCUACUGCAUGAAGUGUUUUAAGAUUUCCAACACAAGCCUGUUUUGCAUCAUGAAGAAAUCAAGAAUUGUUAGUUUUUCAUGAAAGAGAAGCACCAGAAGUAGAGCCAGAACACCUUGGAAGUUCGAGCACAAACUUGGAAUGUCAGAGAUUCGGAUUGAAGUCCAUGUCCUAUCCAAUUCAUAGUUUCAUAGUUGUUAGGGGCUGGAGGGGACCUUACAGAUCAUUGGGUUUAGCCCCCCUGCAUUUGGGCAGGAAAGACUGCUGGGCUCAGAUGACCACAGCAAGGUAGGCAUCAAGAUGCUUUUUGAAGAUUGCCAGGGGGGUGAUUGUACCACCUCUGGGGGGAAACAGGAUUCAAAUGAGACCCCAAGUGCAACAGUUUCUCAGCUGCUGUUUCACAUAGUUUAUGUUCAUAUUUAGCAUCUGUCCUACACGUAAGACUACGUUAAAAAAAAAAUAACAACAACAGUGUAUUUUCCAAAUAAGGCAUGAUGUUAUUUAAAAAUAAGGACCACAAACUGGAAUCUAAUGAAGUUAGCCAAGCAACCUGUCCUCUACUGAUGCAAGAUGUUUCUCAUUCAGACUGUAUUCAAAAUCUGUACCUAUAUUCUCUAUCUCAUGAGUGCCCUAAUCAUUGGGAUAUGGACUAUUCAGGGGUAGGGUUUUUUGCCAUUUGAUCAAAAAUUGCAUCCUAGAUGUCAGACACCUUUUCUGAUAAAAGCUAACUUUGGAUUCAUAUGUUUCCUCAAUGUUUGAGUACUGCAGAAAAAUCAUUAUUCAACAUUUUUUUUCCAAAUGAAAAAUCCUUCUUCAAAUAUACUGUUUCUGUUUCAUCCAGAAAUAACUGCUAAAAAUAGUCAAAUAGAAAACAAUAAAAAUAAUAAAUAAUUAAAAAGUAAUUAUACAGUUUUUAGAAAAAAACAAAAAACAAAUAGAAGAGACUGCCAUAGGAACAAAUGCUAGCCUCAAAUUACACAAGUGAGCCAGAACCAAGCUUUUAUGAAAGAGGGGCACUGUGGAGGAUAUACUGGAGAGGGAGAAAGAUGAUAAGAAGGAAAUAAAGGACUGAAAGUGAGGGAGAAAAGGUAAAUCAUAAAAUCAGCAUGUCUGAGGAGAAUAGAAAGAAAGAAAAUAAACUGUCUUGAGCAAGGAAUUCAAGUAGGAAAGAACACUAGGAAGUCUGAAAAAGGAUAGAACAGGGUAAAGGAUGAAAGGAAGAGAAAAAAUGAUGGAAGAGAUGAAACACAGAUUAUUUAAUUUAGAAGGACUGAGGGUGGCAAGAUGUAGGAACAGGUUGUUGGGGUAAAAAAAAUAGAAAAAUGUUUUGACUGAAGACUAAAUGGAAAGAAACAAGAUCAUUUUCUUUCCAAGGAGUUUCAAGUUAUUUGUGAACAUGUGAGAUGAUGAGGAAUUUGUGCAUAGAAUCUAGAUAAAAUAUCAAUUUUAAAUUAACCACUAUAAAACACAAGCUUUUGGAAAAAAUGUAGGGGAAUGAAUAUAAUUAAAUUAUAGUUAAAGUUAAGUAAUACAAUGGUUGUUCAGAGUAGCACUAACUUAAAACUCUGGAUAAAGAGAAGUACUUCGUGGACUUGUGGUUUACAGGUUUUCCUGGUGUUAAACUUUUUUGGCUGGAAUGUUCAAGGGAGCAUUAAGAUGCUUAAAUGUCAUUGGCAUUCAUCAAUAGCUGACAGCAUAAUUCUCCAAGCUCUUUUGAAAAUUAUCACACUGUUAAUACAUAAAUGACUAUGAGGAAGUAAAAAGAUGUUUCUGCCUGAGCUAUCAGUUUUGGAAUUCCAGCAAGUACAUGCAAGGACUAUUUGACUGCUUUAUGACAGUGCAUUUGUGCCAUAGUUUGCAGGCAUAACAGGUUGAGAGGUUCUCUUCUUGUUCAAUUUGCAGCUUAACAUCUAGAAUGACUAAAGGACAACACAUUUUGAGUAUUACAUAUGCAGUUCACACUAAACAUAUGUAAUGCCAUAUGGUUAUUGGACAGUGAUCAACAUUUUUAUUAAGGAAACUACUAGGACUAAUAUUAGUUGUGAAUUGGUGUAUGCAUUAUAUUGUGUCAUCAAAAGAGGAAAGAAACAAAGUAAGAUGAAACAACAAAAUAAAAAACAACAAACUGAGCCUAAAAAAAGUCAAAACAUCUCUAUUAAAUUUAUGUCUGUACAAUAGUUUGUAAUGGCUGUAAUGAAGCUCAUACAGGUUAUACAAUUAAUAGUGUAGUAGCAUGCAUAUUGCUGUUUUCUAUAUAUACUCGUAGUCGUUAGAAAGAAAUCUAUGCUCUUACUAUAUGUAUAACAUGAGAUUUCUGCAUUGCAGUGAUUCUUAAAGCUUUGAAAGCACAAAUGUAUGUCUCCAUUUAUAGCAAAACCCCCAGUUUUUCUUUUUUUUAAUUUUAAAAUGCAUUAAAGCAUUUCUGACUUCCCCAAGCAUUUCUGACUUUUUCUCUCACUCUCUAUUCCAUAUAGAUAAGUAUAAGUGAGCUAAGACAUAGGAUAAGCUUCAGCAUUUUAUUUUGGUAGCAAGUUGUGUUUGGUUUGUUUUUUCUCCUUCUUUAUAUUGUAUAAUUAUUAUGUUUAUAUUGAUUUUUACUGUUCUAUAUUACAGUUUUACUGAUACUAUAUGAUUUAGGCCUACAUAUGUAAGUUAGCAUGAGUCAUGCCAAGUUUCCAUUUUGUUUGUCAAGUCUCCAUCUUGUCCCCAUGCUCUGUGGUCUGAAUCUAUGACUCAUACCUACCCCUCCUACGUAACUUGGUUCCUGAAUGAAUGGGGAUGAAUGAGGGUGCUUGAGAGACAAUGGCAGUAGGUCUAAAAAUAGCUCCCUCUGAAUGACUGAACCUUCAACACCAAUACCUGGAUGAACAACCCAGCCAUUGGAACCAUUCUCAGCAUUCAAGAAACAAAAGAUGAGGCAACCCACCAUUGUGCCAAGGCUGCACAUGCUCAGUAAGAACACCUGGAGCCCUCUGGAACAGGACUGACCUUGCCUGGACAGGCCCUUCUCAUAGGAGAUCAGAGGUAGUCUGCCCCAUAAAAGGGAUAGUGAAGACUGACUCUUUGGGACUCCCUCUCCAUCUGGACCAGCACAAUGCCACACCACCUAUCCACCCAGAGGCCCUGCCGGCAAACCCCCUCUGGACAAUACCUGCUGGACAAGGACCCCUUUCCAGCCUGGAUAGGUAGCUAUCACCCCCACCCGCUCUUCAACCAAGGACUUGGACUCUGUUUCUCUUCCCUACCUGGACUCCAACACUUCCACUGAGUCUCUUUCUUCUACUGCCAUUGUGAGUGUGAGUGUGUGUGUGUGUGUGUGUGAACCAAUAACCUCAUGGGGCUGUGUAGUGUGUUGUUUGUUUAAUAAACCUGUUAUUUGGAAACCGUGA
This is a long non-coding RNA of Alligator mississippiensis (American alligator), 3544 nucleotides long. RefSeq lists it as uncharacterized. NCBI's taxonomy places the organism in Eukaryota, Metazoa, Chordata, Crocodylia, Alligatoridae. The transcript is spliced from 2 exons. The record is from RefSeq and is a predicted model, not a curated record.